Molecule: transfer RNA, 70 nt
Filed under: Agreia pratensis
Lineage: Bacteria; Bacillati; Actinomycetota; Actinomycetes; Micrococcales; Microbacteriaceae
Description: tRNA-Pro
Source: RNAcentral
CGGGCUGUGGCGCAGCUUGGUAGCGCACUUGACUGGGGGUUAAGGGGUUCACCCCUCCCGGACGGCCCGA